UCUGUGUCUCCUCCUGCUCGUCCUUAUCCGCCUCGUCCUCGCCGUCGCCGUCGUGCCACUAACCCUGAAUGCUAGAUUGCAUUCUUUCUGGGAUUGAGGGAGUACUUAUCUGCUGGAGAUGCUCUUGUUUCUGUAUAUUUCCAUAUCCCCUAAACCCAAACCGUAGAUCGAAUCGAGGCUGUGCACGGACCAUUCUCUGGAUCGGAUUUCGCUUCACAUAGCCAGUUAGCCACCAGUACGGUGCCGCCUCGCCGCCGCUCCAUUGUCUGGCAACUGGCGUCGGUGGCGGCAGGGGCAGGGAACCGUGCGGUGACGCCUGACGCGGCUUCCGAGUCGGGUUUCGCCCGAUGCGGCGCCCUGCUGCGUUACUCCUGAUGGAUGGAUGAAUGGAUCAUGGAUACUGCACCCCUGCGGUGCGACGCAGUGGUGAUCUCUUCCCAUGAUGUUGCCUGUGGGAUAUUUAACUUUGGGAACAUAUCGGGUGCAAACCAACCCCUUCGUGCAAACCAUGCAAACUUCAAUCUGGGCCACCGGAUCAACAUCCAAGGGGCACAUCUUCUCUCCUUCUCCCCUGCCUUUUCUUCUCUCCACCCCGCCCACUGUUUACCGCGGCCUCCCACCCGCGGCACAGAGAGAGUGCUAGUUCAAUGUCACAGUUCCUGUGUCUUGCACAUUGAAAAGAAUCAUUGUUACUGCGAGAACUUUGUCGGUGAAAAUAAUCAUCGAUACCACUGGACGUUUGUCGAGAUGUUCUUCAUCCUCGUCGUGGGGGCCUGGGGCAAACCCAGAAUCCGAUUUUAAUCGGGUCUCGGAGAGCCGCUGCCACCAGGGGCGGAUCCAGUAAAGGACAUGGCUGUACACAUGUAUGCCUGAUAAUCUUUGCUUUGCAAAAGGAUCGGCACUUGUAAUUGGAUCGUAUCUGAUCUGAAUACAAAUGUCUUAAGUUUAGGUGCUCGGUUUCGUACAGCAGGAAGGGAGAUGGGUGGGCAUACCUGGUGGGUGCUCGUUGCAGAGAGAGACCUGAUGGCAAAGAGAUCCAGCUAAGAACUCAUCAGACCCCAGAGCUGGAGAGUGCCAUGGCAACAGUUCCUGCAACCAUGGCACCCUCAGCUCUCCUUUUUGUCCACAUAAGAAGGGGGGCUUGUUGAGAUAUAAAGAGCUGGUUUUCUAGACUUGGGCAAAGUACCCUUGUGAAAAAUUUGUUUAUGCCAACCAUGCUGGACAUGGAAAUGGACUCAGACCGAUGAAUAGAGUGCUGACCUGGGGUGAUGAUGUUCAACCUUUUCUGAAUUACUCCCUCCUUCCCCGUUUCUUAGGCGUAUGAGCAAAAUUAACUUUUCUAUAAAUAUAGGGCGCACCCCGUCGCUCAGCAGCUCUUUACCUCGGUAAGCCACGUAAUUAAGCCCCUUGCCAGGCAAAUGGCGCGCGUGGUUGGGUGAGAGAAAGUUUGCUGCGGAGGAAGUUUAAUUAGCGGUUAAACAGAGACGAGAUUCAAGGGGCUGCAUGCCUUCAUGCAAACGGGAGUAAAUGCUCCUUGGUCUCUGGAGUAGGAGGUUAUCCGCCCUACAAAUGUGGAAGGAGGGAGUAUAUGCCAUUUGAGCAAUUGAGGCCUAGUACCUAAUUAGAGCUCACCCUCCCCACUCUUGAAGCCUAUUUUAACCAUCCCUUUUUGUUUGUGGUUCUGCCUAUGCCUAGGAUGGUCAUCCGGAUAUGUGACAACCAGCACAGUUCUACUCACAUUGGGAUGAGUAAGUUGUCCUGCAAGAGAAAUGAGAAGCUGGUUUGCAUUAUUGAGCAAAACCGAUGGUGAGCCCUUUUUUGAUAUGGUUUAUGUUAUGAUUCUUUAUGUCUCUCGUUUUUAUUUUGUACUACUCUUGAGUGGCUAUGAUGGUUCAAAUUUCCAUUAGAUUGCUUCUGCACUCUACCAUCUUCUGAGCUGGUACCUCCCAUUUGCUGCUUAACUAGGAUGGCUAAUACCAUACUAGUUACUACCUCCCGUCCAAAAAAGUAUGCAAUCCUCUCUGUUUGUUGCUUAACUAGGAUGGCUUGUAACUCACUACCUCCGUCCCAAAAAGAAUGCAAUUUUUUUUCUCGAAUGCGCAGGAGAGCUGCGCAUCAAUAUAUUAAGAAGGAAAAAGGAGAAUGCGAUUCAGUCUAUGCAUUUGGACAAGCAUUCCUUUUGGGGCAGUGGUAGCAACAAGUAACCAGUUAUGUGGCUGAGAGGGAGGGAGGGGGAUUACACUGUGCUUCCACUAUAAAUUGCAGUUGAUAUGCUGAUAAUGGUUAAAUCUGAGCCACUCAAGUGAACUCCUUUUUCUUCUAGUACCACUGUAUGAAUACCCACCAUGCACCACCACCACACUACUCCCACAGCAGUUUAAUCUUCUCCUUGAGUUGUUCAUACUUUUAUUCUGUUUUGAAUUUAUAUUUUAGUGUUAUCCUAAACACUAAUGGUAAACAGUCGGUCACCUGCCGUUUAGCCCAUUAUUCGGGCAAAAACGGGUGUUUAAAUGGGCAAAACGGCCGUUUAAACGUUCAAAACAACCGAUAAACGGAAACGGUGUACCACAGUGUAGCGUUUAAAUGGUGUGUAAACGGGCUAAAUGACCGUUUAGGGCUCUAGGCUAACAGUUUUGUGUUCUUAUCUGCUUGUUCUUUUGUGCUCUUUUGCAUGUCCUGUUGAUGCUGUCCGCCUCUACCCUGAUCUAAGGCUGUUCUUCACUUGCCUUCCUGCUGGGUUCGAACCUGCGACCUGGGUCAAUAUUAUUGGGACUGAUAUGCCAAGUCAUUUUCAUCUCUUAGGUUGACAAAGAAAUAAAUUUUAAGUGUGGGGCAAUGAUCAACAACCAUGGCUGACAAAAGUGCCUUUGAGCAAUCAAGGCUGCUAUAUGGGUACCAAACUGGAAUCCUCGCCUUCCUCUCUUCGAAACCUUUUUCAAUUAUCCUGUAAUGAUAGUGGCUUUGUCCUUGGAUGGUCAUGCCCUCUUGAUGUGUGAUAACCAGGGCAGCUCCACUUUAUCAUAUCAGGACAUGUUGAUGUGGUGAUAAGAGAUGGUGGGAUAUGGUUAAAUGACUGAGCAAAGGCGAAGCUGAGCCCCCCCCCCCCCCUCACACACACACACGUACACACAGAGAGAAGGGAAUAAGGAAACACGAUUUUAUGCUGUCUCUUCCCUUUUUUUGUUGAAUAUGUUGUUGCUUCAUGUUUUCUUGUCUAACGUAGAUAUUUCCUGGCUUCAUUCUGUUUGUAUUUAUAUUUGGCUGUUGUGUUUUCUCAAUUACUUCCUUCGAGCCAUCAUAACUAUUGUACCUUGCAGUGUGCAACAUUGAUCCAUUUUGGUAGUUCCUAUGCAUUCCUUUGUUUUUCAGAUAUUUUGUUGUCACUUGUCUGUUGUUGAUAUUCCUUUCUUGUUUGGAACUGCUCUUCAGUGGCUGUGAUUUCAAAUGCCCCAGUCCUAUAGAGCUAUUACUUUUUAGCAUCCUGAAUUGUUACUUUUGGUAUUUUGCUCCACAUACUGCUAAACUAGGAUGGCUUGUACCAUAUACAAGCAACCAGUUUGCAACUAAUUGUUGUCAUUGGUAUGGUGGUAGUGUGGUAUAUCUCCAAAUGAACAAUUCUACUCAAAAGUUCAUUUAGAGAGGGAUGGAGGAGUAUAUGUUUCUUCUGUCAGUGUUGUGUUGAUACCGGGGCAAAUCUGAGCCAUUCAAUGUGACAUUACUCUUUCUGGUCCGUCAUAUACUUUUGUUUAUGAUUCUAUUUCAUUCAUGUAUCCUACCUUUUUCAGUGAUUUCAACUUGGGACCAGGAUUUUAGUACAGAUGGGACCAAUAUGUCAACUUUGAUUUGAUGUCACGUAAGAUUAAUUGGAUGAAUUGCUCAUUUCGUUCUAAAGAAUGGUUUCUUUUCCACAUUCUCAUUUAACUGCUUUAAUUCUUCCACCGCUCAUAAGUGGUUCCCUAAUGUGUCCUUACUUUUGUGGUAUCCCUUUGGACUGCCAGCAUUGGCAUUAGUGGUCCUAAUAGCAUGCCAUGGCCUUGAUGAAUCUUGAUUGAUGAUUCAAAAGGAUAGACAUGUUAAAUCAUUGCCAUGGCAUGGCUGUACUUUUUUGGUCAUGUGUGCGAAAGCUUCUCUAUGCGUGUGCUAUUCACAUGUGUUGUUCAUUUGCGUAUCGAUCGAUUUUCCCAAGUGCGGAAACAUUGGGAGUUGGGAUGAGUUGUUCGAGAGGGCUUUCUUUCAAUCCUGCCAAAAAACAAGAUUGGGAGUGGGUUUUGGGAAUUAUUGGAGAUGCUCUGAUUGGGAGUAGCGGUUGUGUGCCAAAUAACUUGUAAUAAUUAGUUAUUUGGCUCUUUAUAUUCGAAUCUGAUCUAAUUACAAGUGUAUACAUGUAUUAUGCCUACUAACUUUAAUCCCUUUCAAAGAUUAUCAGACAUACAUGUGCACACCCAUGGCCUUUACUGGAUGAGCACAUGUGGUUUUGUGUGCUUUGAUCUGAUUUGCUCUUAAUGUUCCUCGUCCUUCUGCUCAUCCUCCCCACCUCGGUGGCAUUUUGUUAGACAGUGCGAAUGGGAUCAGGAUAUGUGAUGAUGAGAUAUAAAGAGGUGUUUUUUUUUCCGCUUGGGUGGAAGUACCCAGUGGCCAUUGCAAGUGAAACUUAGGGUGACAGUGUAGACAUGGAAAUGGGCCCGAACCUGUGAAUGAAGUGCUGCCGAGGGGCAAUGAUGUUCCACCUUUUCUGAAUUGCAUGCCAUUGAGCGAUUGAGGCAGCUGAGGGUCAUUUGGAUAUGUGACAACCAGCGCAGUUCCACUUACAUUGGAUGAGUAAGUUGUGCUGCAAGAGAAAUGAGAAGUCGGUUUGCAUGAUUGAGCAAAGGUGAUGCUGAGCCCUUUUUCUAUGGUUUAUUUUAUGAUGCUUUAUGACUUUCCUUUUUGUUUUGUACUACUUGAGUGGCUAUGAUGAUUCAAAUUUCUAUUAGAGAGCUUCUGCUCUCUGAAGGAGCUGGGUUUGUUGUCCAUGUCCAUAAGAGACCUUCUGAGCUGGUAUACAAUACAAGUUACUACUUCCAUCCCAAAAAGAAUGUGAUUCUGUCUAUGCACCUGGACAAACAUUCCUUUUGGGGCAGUAGUAGCAACAAGUAACCACUAUGCACCUGAAUCCUAUGAUUUCUUGAACACUGCCUCUCUCAUCUUGAGGUGUAGUGCUUCAAUUCAUAAUUAUAUUUAGUCAAUCUGCUUCGAGCACUGGUUUGCCAGUGGAUUUAAUAUCAAUUAUUAGAUAAAGCGCCAUGUAAAGCCUUAUGUGCAGAUUCAAAGAACACACCGUCAGUCACGAUAAAAGCAUGCCUACACUAAGCCUUUUGGUCGGAUAAUUUUGUUUUUGUGUUCUAGAUUUACAUACAUGAUGGCAAUUGAUUUCAUUACAUCUUGUUACAUCAGUUACUUUGUAGACAAAGGAGGAGGUCCAGAAGUUAAAAUCAUCUGCCCAAGAGAGGAGGAACAUCUAGCCUGCUGCUGAAAGGAGAGACUACUUCAGUGUUCUUUUAACUGCUGAGUUAGAAACUGGUUCAGUCAUUUACUGAGAAUACUAGCCUGAGAAAUAGAACCAAGUGAGUAGUGUAGCUGGUUCAAUCUUCUCUUGUUGCUAAUGGGCAAAGUCUACACCAUUUUCCUUUCUUAUUAUCCAAUCACUUUUGAAGGCUGGUCACAAUUUACAAGGACGACAUGUAUGUAUGAGUAGUUUAUCUGUCGACAGUCAUGCAGAUGGUGCGUGAUGCCCAUCUAAUGAUAAAUGUUCUAAACAACAUUAUUCUUGGAAGUUCCCGACUCCCAUAGCUGUUCAGGUGGUAUAUGUUCCUAAUUGGUGAGCCAAUUAAGCUCAAUUUUGUUCCAUUCCUCACCCAACUUGGUAGCUCUCAAGGAACCACCGAAGGUAACUACAAUCUAGUAUUGUCACCUGACGCUAUCAGAAAUGUUACAGUGUGUCUGCCCGAGAGCGUGGAAAAGCCUAGCUGAUUACAGGUGCUAAUCGACUGGAAUGCAAGUGUGCAACUGCUUUACCAUGUUGGCAGUUCAAUUGUCUGAUGAUUUGUUAGAGCAAGGUCGCGAAAAAAAAGGAAGAAGCAGCUAGCACAGAUUGUGACCAAGUCUGCCUCAGUGGUCAAGGACAAGAAUAUGGUGGUACCAACGACAACGCAAUAGGCAACCAAAGCCAGCGCCACAGAGAAGAAGAGAGAGAGUGCCGGCGACAGAAUCGGCAGAACAUCCUGCUGUUGUCAUUGAGAAGACUGCGGAGAAACGCUCCGGUGCCAAGCCUGGCGUUUAAUGCGCCGUUAUGGAGAAUGGCCGACCGGAACGGCACAACUAUUCCGCUGAGCGUACCCAGAUUAAACAGCAAGACGGCAAGAGUAGGGAAGAUUAUGAGACCUGCCCCGAAUGCCGCGUACAUCCCCACGGAGAAUGCAGGAGCGAUGGCAAACGACGCUGCUACGAGGCAGGCGGCUCCGAAGUAGAGGUGCGAGCGGCGCGACACGUUCUCCGCCGUCGCAAAUCCGGCGUACGUGCAGCAGAAAGUGGCCACGGCCGAGGAGACGAACGCCACGGCGUCGAGGGCAAGGAAUGCUCUGAAAGCAAUGCUCGCCCUCCGUGUCGGAGGGUGCUCGUUGUACCGUGCGGCUACGUUGAAAGGCAGCGCCCGAUGCGUUGAGAAUGAGCACUGCGCAGACGGCCAGUACGCCGGCGGACUUGCCCACAUUUUCCCAGUCCUUGUCCAUGUCGUGCUUUGCCGGCAACCGCGUGGCCAUGUCGUCCCACCGGUGGAUGCCACCAGACGCCCCAGCAACGAC
Panicum virgatum (switchgrass) is the source of this 6839-nucleotide long non-coding RNA. RefSeq lists it as uncharacterized. The record is from RefSeq and is a predicted model, not a curated record. NCBI's taxonomy places the organism in Eukaryota, Viridiplantae, Streptophyta, Magnoliopsida, Poales, Poaceae. The transcript has 3 exons.